This 45-nucleotide non-coding RNA is filed under the name Schistosoma haematobium. The record is from RNAcentral. Lineage: Eukaryota; Metazoa; Platyhelminthes; Trematoda; Strigeidida; Schistosomatidae.
AUCUAGCUGACGAGCCCCAAAUAGGACGGAACACUCGUCCUGGAU